RNAcentral lists this ribosomal RNA (253 nucleotides) under uncultured bacterium. RNAcentral describes it as "partial 16S ribosomal RNA". It matches the Rfam family "Bacterial small subunit ribosomal RNA", at positions 524 to 776 of the family's 1533-position model. The record is from RNAcentral.
UACGGAGGAUGCAAGCGUUAUCCGGAAUGAUUGGGCGUAAAGCGUCCGCAGGUGGCUGUGUAAGUCUGCUGUCAAAGAGCGAAGCUCAACUUCGUAAAGGCAGUGGAAACUACACGGCUAGAGUGCGUUCGGGGCAGAGGGAAUUCCUGGUGUAGCGGUGAAAUGCGUAGAUAUCAAGAGGAACACCUGAGGUGAAGACGGGUUGCUGGGCCGACACUGACGCUGAGGCGCGAAAGCCAGGGGAGCAAACGGG